This 430-nucleotide long non-coding RNA is filed under the name Linum usitatissimum (flax). RNAcentral's name for it is "long non-coding RNA (LUSI_LNC001726)". Lineage: Eukaryota; Viridiplantae; Streptophyta; Magnoliopsida; Malpighiales; Linaceae. The record is from RNAcentral.
GAGGAGAAGGACUUUCUAUAUAUACAUAUAUAUUUUCUUCAUGGUCGAUCCAAGCUACUAUGGUUUAUUCAUACAUAAUCGGCGCCUCGUUAUUCUCUCAAGUAUUUUCGUAACAGUAUCAGCAGAGAGGCAGAGCCAGAUCAAGAAUAUUAUUAUUACCGACAGACUGAGCCAUCUCCCUGCUGAUAUUUUGCAGGGUAUUCCUCGCCGCUCAUAAGAAUUGGUUCAGUAGGGUAUUCCUCGCCGCUCGACAGUAGGGUAUUCCCUUCGCCAGGGUAUUUAGCCGAUCAAAGGGUAAGAUACCAUCUUUGUUGUUUUAUACAGCGAUGGGUGUUGAACUAGUUCGUAGCGAUAUAGUCGAAGAUUUUAGCGUCACCAACUCCGAUUUGGUUGACCAGUUCAGGCUUGCCCUCAGGUCCAAGUCUGCCUC